UUGGAUUAGGCCAAAGAGGAGGGCCAGAUUCGUUGGGCCUGUCUAAAUUAUAAAGGUAAAAUACAAUUUUACCCUUUUGUUUUAAAAUCAGAUUUCAGCACCUUUCUCUCUCUCUCCUCUUCCUUAUUCACUCCAGCGAUGACGACUCCCUCUUCUCUCCAUUGACGAUACGACGCCCUCUCUUUCUCCUCGUCCUUCUUCGCUCAAUCAACGACGACGACACUCACUCUCUCUCCUCUUCCUUAUUAGUCUCCAUCAACAACAACACCGUCUCUCUCAUCUUCCUUCUUUUCACGCAAAGCUCUGUUUUUCAUCUGGUGAGAUAUUGGGAAAGGAUUGGGCAGCAAUGGUUCUGCAGCUGGAGUUGUGCUUCCGCCAAUUACAAAGAGGCCAGCCGGAAGACCACCAACAAAGAGGAUCAAAGUUUUUGGUGAAUUUAAAAGGCCAUUGAAAUGCAGUCGGUGCAGUGUUGCUGGGCACAAUAGGAAGACUUGCAAGGCUAUUAUAUGAACACUCCUUCUCAUUUGACAAUUUUUUAUUUUAGAUAUGGUUUAGCGAAUGUAUAGUCAGUUUCUGUGUUGCACUUUUUGCAAAAACUGUAUUGCAGUUUUAGUUGCUUGUAAUUGGCUACACAGCUUCUAAUUGGAUAUUGUGAUUCUUUUUUGAAGUUAAUGAAAAUUAUACAAUUGUUUAAUGAGUG
Molecule: long non-coding RNA, 700 nt
Organism: Prunus persica (peach)
Lineage: Eukaryota; Viridiplantae; Streptophyta; Magnoliopsida; Rosales; Rosaceae
Exons: 2
Source: RefSeq, a predicted model, not a curated record